RNAcentral lists this ribosomal RNA (527 nucleotides) under uncultured bacterium. RNAcentral describes it as "partial 16S ribosomal RNA". It matches the Rfam family "Bacterial small subunit ribosomal RNA", at positions 355 to 874 of the family's 1533-position model. The record is from RNAcentral.
UGGGGAAUUUUGGACAAUGGGCGAAAGCCUGAUCCAGCAAUGCCGCGUGUGUGAAGAAGGCCUUCGGGUUGUAAAGCACUUUUGUCCGGAAAGAAAUCCUCUGGGUUAAUACCUCGGGGGGAUGACGGUACCGGAAGAAUAAGCACCGGCUAACUACGUGCCAGCAGCCGCGGUAAUACGUAGGGUGCAAGCGUUAAUCGGAAUUACUGGGCGUAAAGCGUGCGCAGGCGGUUUUGUAAGACGGAUGUGAAAUCCCCGGGCUUAACCUGGGAACUGCAUUCGUGACUGCAAGGCUAGAGUAUGGCAGAGGGGGGUAGAAUUCCACGUGUAGCAGUGAAAUGCGUAGAGAUGUGGAGGAAUACCGAUGGCGAAGGCAGCCCCCUGGGCCAAUACUGACGCUCAUGCACGAAAGCGUGGGGGAGCAAACAGGAUUAGAUACCCUGGUAGUCCACGCCCUAAACGAUGUCAACUAGUUGUUGGGGAUUCAUUUCCUUAGUAACGUAGCUAACGCGUGAAGUUGACCGCCU